CGGACGGGUGAGUAAUGUCUGGGAAACUGCCUGAUGGAGGGGGAUAACUACUGGAAACGGUAGCUAAUACCGCAUAACGUCGCAAGACCAAAGAGGGGGACCUUCGGGCCUCUUGCCAUCGGAUGUGCCCAGAUGGGAUUAGCUAGUAGGUGGGGUAAUGGCUCACCUAGGCGACGAUCCCUAGCUGGUCUGAGAGGAUGACCAGCCACACUGGAACUGAGACACGGUCCAGACUCCUACGGGAGGCAGCAUG
RNAcentral lists this ribosomal RNA (253 nucleotides) under uncultured bacterium. RNAcentral's name for it is "partial 16S ribosomal RNA". It matches the Rfam family "Bacterial small subunit ribosomal RNA", at positions 99 to 353 of the family's 1533-position model. The record is from RNAcentral.